ACCUUUUGUAUAAUGGGUCAGCGACUUAUAUUCUGUAGCAAGGUUAACCGAAUAGGGGAGCCGAAGGGAAACCGAGUCUUAACUGGGCGUUAAGUUGCAGGGUAUAGACCCGAAACCCGGUGAUCUAGCCAUGGGCAGGUUGAAGGUUGGGUAACACUAACUGGAGGACCGAACCGACUAAUGUUGAAAAAUUAGCGGAUGACUUGUGGCUGGGGGUGAAAGGCCAAUCAAACCGGGAGAUAGCUGGUUCUCCCCGAAAGCUAUUUAGGUAGCGCCUCGUGAAUUCAUCUCCGGGGGUAGAGCACUGUUUCGGCAAGGGGGUCAUCCCGACUUACCAACCCGAUGCAAACUGCGAAUACCGGAGAAUGUUAUCACGGGAGACACACGGCGGGUGCUAACGUCCGUCGUGAAGAGGGAAACAACCCAGACCGCCAGCUAAGGUCCCAAAGUCAUGGUUAAGUGGGAAACGAUGUGGGAAGGCCCAGACAGCCAGGAUGUUGGCUUAGAAGCAGCCAUCAUUUAAAGAAAGCGUAAUAGCUCACUGGUCGAGUCGGCCUGCGCGGAAGAUGUAACGGGGCUAAACCAUGCACCGAAGCUGCGGCAGCGACGCUUAUGCGUUGUUGGGUAGGGGAGCGUUCUGUAAGCCUGUGAAGGUGUACUGUGAGGUAUGCUGGAGGUAUCAGAAGUGCGAAUGCUGACAUAAGUAACGAUAAAGCGGGUGAAAAGCCCGCUCGCCGGAAGACCAAGGGUUCCUGUCCAACGUUAAUCGGGGCAGGGUGAGUCGACCCCUAAGGCGAGGCCGAAAGGCGUAGUCGAUGGGAAACAGGUUAAUAUUCCUGUACUUGGUGUUACUGCGAAGGGGGGACGGAGAAGGCUAUGUUGGCCGGGCGACGGUUGUCCCGGUUUAAGCGUGUAGGCUGGUUUUCCAGGCAAAUCCGGAAAAUCAAGGCCGAGGCGUGAUGACGAGGCACUACGGUGCUGAAGCAACAAAUGCCCUGCUUCCAGGAAAAGCCUCUAAGCAUCAGGUAACAUCAAAUCGUACCCCAAACCGACACAGGUGGUCAGGUAGAGAAUACCAAGGCGCUUGAGAGAACUC
RNAcentral lists this ribosomal RNA (1096 nucleotides) under Shigella flexneri. RNAcentral describes it as "partial 23S ribosomal RNA". It matches the Rfam family "Bacterial large subunit ribosomal RNA", at positions 603 to 1701 of the family's 2925-position model. The record is from RNAcentral. Lineage: Bacteria; Pseudomonadati; Pseudomonadota; Gammaproteobacteria; Enterobacterales; Enterobacteriaceae.